UGUCACGUCUAACGACUAAAACUUCUCGGGUAUUUGGUAAAUCAUCUCCAACUAAAACUAAAACUACAACUCCAGUAUCAGACAAUAAUAAUUUAAGGGUUAAAAUUUGGAAUUCAGACACGAUGCAAUUUGAAAUUUCAAUUGCGGAUGGAAUUGCUGCCUCUGCAACAUCUAAUUGUCAUCAAACAGUAACAACUAUAUUAAAACAAACCCCAUUAAAGAGGUCUGAUUGCUAUGAAACGGAAAAUAUAUCACCGGCUAUUACGAUCCAUCAGCCGAUUUUUUACACAAUGCCAUCAGAUAGCAUGGAUGAUAUCGAGCUGAAAAAUAUCCAACUCCAGUUUCCUGCGUUGAGAUACCUGAGCAAAGAUGAUGGCUCUGUUAGAGAGGAGAGAGUUGAAACGGACAAAGGAAUUUUGGUGGUCGCUGUUCAAGGCAAUCGCGCUAAACCUGCCAUCCUAACUUAUCAUGACCUAGGCCUUAAUUACAUUUCGAGCUUCCAGGCAUUCUUUAAUUACAUUGAUAUGAGAGUAUUGCUCGAAAACUUUUGUGUUUACCACGUAAAUGCACCCGGUCAAGAGGAGGGAGCACCAACAUUACCUUUCGACUACGUUUAUCCGACGAUGGACGAGUUAGCACAACAGCUGCUAUUUGUGCUGGGGCACUUUGGCCUGAAAUCGGUUAUCGGUUUCGGCGUGGGUGCCGGGGCCAAUAUCCUCGCGCGGUUCGCUUUGGCUCAUCCCAGCAAAGUUAAUGCGUUAUGUUUGAUAAAUUGCAUCUCAACGCAAGCCGGGUGGAUCGAGUGGGGAUAUCAGAAACUUAACGUUCGUCAUCUAAGGUCACAGGGUAUGACUCAAGGUGUUCUGGAUUAUCUUAUGUGGCAUCACUUCGGCCGAGGAACCGAAGAAAGAAAUCACGAUUUGGCUCAAGUUUACACCAACUACUUCGAACGGAAAGUAAACCCAACGAAUCUCGCAUUAUUUAUCGACAGCUAUGUAAGACGUACUGACUUAAAUAUCAACCGCGAACUAGACCCGACACGCAAAAAGGACGUCCCGACAUUAAAAGUCCCUAUUAUUAAUAUCACCGGAGCUUUGAGUCCUCACGUUGAUGAUACUGUUACGCUUAAUGGCCGAUUGGAUCCAACUAAUAGUACAUGGAUGAAAAUAUCAGACUGUGGCAUGGUCCUUGAAGAACAACCGGGAAAAGUAAGCGAAGCCUUUCGACUAUUUCUCCAAGGUGAAGGAUACGUGGUGAAAAGCUCGCGGAAGCCGUUGACGCCUACAACAUCCGAAGGUAAUUGUAAUUAGGAAUUGAAGCAGCAAGGAACCGAUCAUUGCCGUUGGCCAAUUUCUUGGCCAUUUCUAAUUGUUGAUGGCUCCACUGUCACCAUUAAAAAUGGCCGAUUAUCGCUUAGCGUCAUUAGAAGGACUUAAUCAUUUUUGUUCGAAAAAAUUUGAUUGGCCGACCGCCACUAUCCACAUUACAGAGAAUCCCAUAUCAGAAGCUGUCGUUUGCUAAAUUAUAAAUGUAAAGCGUUUAUUAUCUUUAUAAGUAAC
This 1559-nucleotide unclassified non-coding RNA is filed under the name Cotesia glomerata. Its description in RNAcentral is "protein NDRG3, transcript variant X1". The record is from RNAcentral. Lineage: Eukaryota; Metazoa; Arthropoda; Insecta; Hymenoptera; Braconidae.